Molecule: unclassified non-coding RNA, 365 nt
Filed under: Hevea brasiliensis (rubber tree)
Lineage: Eukaryota; Viridiplantae; Streptophyta; Magnoliopsida; Malpighiales; Euphorbiaceae
Source: RNAcentral
AGAAAAAAGUUGAAACUAAUAGCAGGGAUUCUAGCAAAACACAGUCAGAUUCUGCUCGAGCCAGACAGGAAGAAGUAGAGGAAAUAUCAUCUGAAGGGACAGUCUCUGAUCAUCAGGAGGAUGACCGUGAACCAUAGCUCUUCCUUAUGGGGAGCUAAUUGUUGUAAUCAUCUCUUGAAGUGUAACUAAAGCCUCUGACCCUCCAUUGUUCUCAGUUUUUGUAGGGCAGGAUGCAGUUAAAGUAGCAAAUACAGUACAGGUUAGACAAGUUACUAUGUAAAGCUUGUGUAAGAGAAAAGAAAAACAUAGAAGUUAGCAUAUAAUAUUGUUCGUCGUCCUUAGAGUCGGAGGUGUUGACCUCGUAG